Molecule: long non-coding RNA, 1830 nt
Organism: Cavia porcellus (domestic guinea pig)
Lineage: Eukaryota; Metazoa; Chordata; Mammalia; Rodentia; Caviidae
Exons: 2
Source: RefSeq, a predicted model, not a curated record
ACCCCCAAACUCAAUGUAAGUGUGCCUCCAGUGAGUCAAAGCAGUGGGACCUUGGACAGCUCAGCAAGUCGUGGUGGGACCCUGGAUGUUUGGACCCAGGCUGCCUUCUUCUGUGAAUAUUCAUUGCCUGAUGAGACUGCAGCUAAGACUGAAUCCCUGACCUCCAGAAUCUCACAAUUCAUCUGUCCCUAGAACACUGAAGAUUGGAAGACUGAUGGCAUCUUGAAAUUCUGAAGUUCCACUCCUCAUGCCUAUUGCCACUCCAUGUACAUUUAUUAAUCUCCUGUGGAGUUUAUCAGGCAGUUCCACCUGGCAAUACAGCACACUGGUGCAAGAUAAUGACAAAGAGAGAAAAUCCUACAGUUCAGGAGCUCUGGGAACCAAUGUUAUUCAUGGAACUAGAGGCCAUGAAUUCCAAAAGUUCAUGGCUUUUGUCAGUAUCAAUCAGAGAUGUGGGUCGGGGUCAUGGCUGAGCGUUUAGAAAGAGACACUUUGCAGGCAUUGGCUGUACCAGCCACAGAGGCUCUCCAAUUAGACAGGAUAUUUGAUGCUUGCAAAUCUGGAACCUUUCCUUCUUGGAUGGUGUAAUUCUUCCUUAGUCCCAAUGCUUCUGCUGAGAUACUGUCUUAUGUGUUAGCCCUGGAAUUGCAGAGGCCACUCCUGGAGCCCCCAUUCCAGGUGUCAACACUGUGGGUAAUGAUUACCUGGGCUUGAUCUCAUUCUUCUAGCUGGAUAAGGAAACCACCAGCUCCAUAUAACCAGCUCAGCAUAUCUCAAUGAAUAGAGUUGAAGGACAGGCAAAGGGGCUUGUUUCUCUGGAGAGCACAGCUUGGCAGUCUCCCAUAGACAUCAACACAAACUCUCUUGUGACUCAUUCAAGUACAUGACACUUAUCCUCCUUUUACUUUUCUCUCUCAUCUCACAUUCAAUAUGUCUGUAAAGCUUAUUUGCUCUAAUUUUAAAAUAUGACCAGAAUCUGUCCGCCUUUCAAUACAUCUACUGAUGGGUCAAAGCUCUGACAUGUGAGCACAUUCAGACAUGGAUAAAAGUAUCAGAGGAGGUGAAUGGGACUUUUAAUAUUACUUUGGAAGUAGGGCCCAAAGGCCAACUUUUAGAACAGAUAUUAUUGUCCCAUUAUCAAACUCUUCAUUUUUGAAAGGCCACACCAGGAAACAAGCACCAUCUGAGAACCAGUGCCUUGCAGGCUGCCACUGGUCUGUGGACAGUCAGUCCUCAGCCCCUUCCAGCUUGCAGGAUGACAAACAAGAAGUAUCAGUGCACCCCCCACAAUUUCCCCAACCCAGAAACACAGGCUGUCAUGAUAGCUAUCAAUGUGAAAUGCAAUUGGAUGCCUGUGGUGCUUUGAUGUUUCACUGAUAUUGCAGAUAUAGGGCCAGUGGUCUGAUCGUAGGUUCAGGGGAUAGCUGUACACAAGGUGACAGCUAGAGAGGAUCUCCUUCUGAGGGUUCCAUCCAUUGUUGAUUCUCUAUGGUCUAGUUUUGAAAGUCAUAUAUUAUUUCCAUUCUUUUGUUGGGUUAGGUUUUAUUCUCUCUCUCUUUUUUUUUUUUUUUUUGAUUAUGUUAAGUCGGAUGGCAAGAGCAGCUGUUUCAAAGACAGCAGUAUGUAUUAUGGUAGCAAUUUUGGAUUUACUAUUGGCUUGUUUUGAAUUUCUUUAUUGCAUUUAUUGUUUUGUUUUUAUUGUUUGUAUUUUACUCUGUUCUGUUUGAUUUUUACUAUGUCCAAAGAUCUCUUCAGCUAUUUUGAAGACAACAAAAGGCAUUCUGUUAAUUAUUGCUGAUUUUGUAAUGUAUUAAAAUGUUGUAUCACUUA